UUGGGACCCGAAAGAUGGUGAACUAUGCCUGAGCAGGGCGAAGCCAGAGGAAACUCUGGUGGAGGCUCGUAGAUGUGCUGACGUGCAAAUCGCUUUUCGGACUUGGGUAUAGGGGCGAAAGACUAAUCGAACCAUAGGUCUAAAUACUAUGUGGUUAAGAGUCCAGUCGAAAAGGGCUGUGCUAGUCAAAGCUGAUCAGCAGAUGGCGCGGAUCAGUAGUUGGCAAGACCGUCAAAUUGCGGGAAAGCGUUGCGAAGUCAAUGGUACGGUCCGCUCGGGGAAACUCGAGCCGACACUCAGGCUAACCACCUGAGGUAUCGUAACAACCCAUUGAAUAGACGCAAUCCGCAGCCAAGUCCUAAGUGCCGGUCUUCGGACCAGCAUAUGGAUGCAGUUCACAGACUAGAUGUCGGUCGGGGGUCUGCUUCACACGCAGUCCUCUUAAGGUAUAGUCGGUCCCCAGCGAGAGCUGGUCUUACGGAGGAAGUCUGCGCCAGACCGAGAGCCGUAAGAGGUACAGGGUAGUAGUCCAGGCCGUAAGGCUUGUGACGGCAAAUAGCCUCCUGAGCCGGAAUAAACGCUAGUAGCUGGUUCCCUCCGAAGUUUCCCCCAGGAUAGCUGGAGCUCGGUCAGUUUUAUCGGGUAAAGCGAAUGAUUAGAGGUACCGGGGAAGAAACUUCCUCGACCUAUUCUCAAACUUUAAAUAGGUAAGACGUCUGAGUUGCUUAAUUGAACUCAGGCAUUCAAUGAGAGCUCCAAGUGGGCCA
This 767-nucleotide ribosomal RNA is filed under the name Chloroidium saccharophilum. Its description in RNAcentral is "eukaryotic LSU rRNA". It matches the Rfam family "Eukaryotic large subunit ribosomal RNA", at positions 809 to 1133 of the family's 3401-position model. Lineage: Eukaryota; Viridiplantae; Chlorophyta; Trebouxiophyceae; Watanabeales; Watanabeaceae. The record is from RNAcentral.